CAUUUUUGUUUUAGGUUUGGAUUUUCUUUCCCUUAUUCCAGUUGAUCCCCAGUACUGUCCUCCUAUGUUUUUGGAUAGUCUGACCUCACCCUUAACAGCAAGCAGUACGUCUGUCACCACCACCAGCCCCCAUGAGAGCAAUACUCAUGUUAGUUCCUCCAGCAGCAGGAGUGAAACAGGGGUCAUAACCAGCAGUGGAAGCAACAUUCCUGACAUCAUCUCAUUGGACUAAAGGACAGCGCACUUGAUUCUGGGGAAUUAUUCAUCAAAACUGCUCUUUCUUGGAUCUCUAGACUGUGGAAACUAUUUUUUUUUGGCAAUUACUUUGAUAUUUAUUGAAAGUCAGAUGGAUUCUUUUGCUUUCUGGGAGAUGAACACAGAUGACUGCAGCAAGAACCAAAUGACAUGCAAGGAUUUUUCUUACUCACGCUGAACUCUGAGCUUCAGAGUAAUUCAGCCAUAACUGUAUCUUCUGGAGAGAUGGAUUUCAAUUUCAUACAUUAAUGGAUGGAUCCUACAAAUCAGUUAAAAAAAUGUUUUUGUUAUAAUAAACAGCAAUAAAAAUUAUGUAAA
Molecule: long non-coding RNA, 573 nt
Organism: Propithecus coquereli (Coquerel's sifaka)
Lineage: Eukaryota; Metazoa; Chordata; Mammalia; Primates; Indriidae
Exons: 2
Source: RefSeq, a predicted model, not a curated record